CCUACGGGUGGCAGCAGUCGAGAAUCAUUCACAAUGGGGGAAACCCUGAUGGUGCGACGCCGCGUGGGGGAAUGAAGGUCUUCGGAUUGUAAACCCCUGUCAUGUGGGAGCAAAUUAAAAAGAUAGUACCACAAGAGGAAGAGACGGCUAACUCUGUGCCAGCAGCCGCGGUAAUACAGAGGUCUCAAGCGUUGUUCGGAAUCACUGGGCGGAAAGCGUGCGUAGGCUGUUUCGUAAGUCGUGUGUGAAAGGCGCGGGCUCAACCCGCGGGCGGCACAUGAUACUGCGAGAAUAGAGUAAUGGAGGGGGAACCGGAAUGCUCGGUGUAGCAGUGAAAUGCGUAGAUAUCGAGAGGAACACUCGUGGCGAAGGCGGGUUCCUGGACAUUAACUGACGCUGAGGCACGAAGGCCAGGGGAGCGAAAGGGAUUAGAUACCCUUGUAGUC
RNAcentral lists this ribosomal RNA (446 nucleotides) under uncultured bacterium. RNAcentral's name for it is "partial 16S ribosomal RNA". It matches the Rfam family "Bacterial small subunit ribosomal RNA", at positions 338 to 795 of the family's 1533-position model. The record is from RNAcentral.